This 551-nucleotide ribosomal RNA is filed under the name uncultured bacterium. RNAcentral's name for it is "bacterial SSU rRNA". It matches the Rfam family "Bacterial small subunit ribosomal RNA", at positions 355 to 896 of the family's 1533-position model. The record is from RNAcentral.
UAGGGAAUCUUCGGCAAUGGGGGCAACCCUGACCGAGCAACGCCGCGUGAGUGAAGAAGGUUUUCGGAUCGUAAAGCUCUGUUGUAAGUCAAGAACGAGUGUGAGAGUGGAAAGUUCACACUGUGACGGUAGCUUACCAGAAAGGGACGGCUAACUACGUGCCAGCAGCCGCGGUAAUACGUAGGUCCCGAGCGUUGUCCGGAUUUAUUGGGCGUAAAGCGAGCGCAGGCGGUUUGAUAAGUCUGAAGUUAAAGGCUGUGGCUCAACCAUAGUUCGCUUUGGAAACUGUCAAACUUGAGUGCAGAAGGGGAGAGUGGAAUUCCAUGUGUAGCGGUGAAAUGCGUAGAUAUAUGGAGGAACACCGGUGGCGAAAGCGGCUCUCUGGUCUGUAACUGACGCUGAGGCUCGAAAGCGUGGGGAGCGAACAGGAUUAGAUACCCUGGUAGUCCACGCCGUAAACGAUGAGUGCUAGGUGUUGGAUCCUUUCCGGGAUUCAGUGCCGCAGCUAACGCAUUAAGCACUCCGCCUGGGGGAGUACGACCGCAAGGUUG